RNAcentral lists this ribosomal RNA (292 nucleotides) under uncultured bacterium. Its description in RNAcentral is "partial 16S ribosomal RNA". It matches the Rfam family "Bacterial small subunit ribosomal RNA", at positions 505 to 796 of the family's 1533-position model. The record is from RNAcentral.
GUGCCAGCCGCCGCGGUAAUACGUAGGGCGCAAGCGUUGUCCGGAAUUAUUGGGCGUAAAGAGCUCGUAGGCGGUUUGUCACGUCGGAUGUGAAAGCCCGGGGCUUAACUCCGGGUCUGCAUUCGAUACGGGCAGACUAGAGUGUGGUAGGGGAGAUCGGAAUUCCUGGUGUAGCGGUGAAAUGCGCAGAUAUCAGGAGGAACACCGGUGGCGAAGGCGGAUCUCUGGGCCAUUACUGACGCUGAGGAGCGAAAGCGUGGGGAGCGAACAGGAUUAGAUACCCUUGUAGUCC